CCUAACACAUGCAAGUCGAACGGAGGCCCCCCGGAACGAGACUUCGGUCAGGGAAGGGGAAUGCUUAGUGGCGGACGGGGUGAGUAACGCGUGAGGAACCCUGCCUUCCAUGGGGGAUAACACAUCGAAAGGUGUGCUAAUACCGCAUAACGUAUGUUUACCGCAUGGUAGAGAUACCAAAGAUUUAUUGCUGGAAGACUGGCCUCGCGUCCAAUUAGCUAGUUGGCGGGGUAAAUGCCCACCAAGGCGACGAUUGGUAGCCGGACUGAGAGGUUGAACGGCCACAUUGGGACUGAGACACGGCCCCAGACUCCUACGGGAGGCAGCAGUGGGGAAUAUUGCACAAUGGGGGAAACCCUGAUGCAGCAACGCCGCGUGAAGGAUGAAGGUUUUCGGAUUGUAAACUUCUUUUUAUUCGGGACGAAGAAAGUGACGGUACCGAAUGAAUAAGCCACCGGCUAACUACGUGCCAGCAGCCGCGGUAA
RNAcentral lists this ribosomal RNA (485 nucleotides) under uncultured bacterium. RNAcentral's name for it is "bacterial SSU rRNA". It matches the Rfam family "Bacterial small subunit ribosomal RNA", at positions 47 to 523 of the family's 1533-position model. The record is from RNAcentral.